UCCAUGCUUCCAAGAAAAGCAUCUAGAGAGAGAAGUAGUGCCCGUACCGCAAACCGACACAGGUAGAUGAGGAGAGAAUCCUAAGGCCGGCGGAAGAAUUGCAGUUAAGGAACUAGGCAAAUUGACCCCGUAAGUUCGCGAGAAGGGGUGCCUGCGAGAGCAGGCCGCAGAGAAUAGGCCCAAGCAACUGUUUAGCAAAAACACAGGUCUCUGCUAAAGCGUAAGCUGAUGUAUAGGGGCUGACGCCUGCCCGGUGCUGGAAGGUUAAGGGGAACACUUAGCGCAAGCGAAGGUGUGAACUUAAGCCCCAGUAAACGGCGGCCGUAACGAUAACGGUCCUAAGGUAGCGGAAUUCCUUGUCAGGUAAGUUCUGACCCGCACGAAUGGCGUAAUGACUUGGGCACUGUCUCAACUGCAAAUCCGGCGAAGUUGUAGUGCGAGUGAAGAUGCUCGCUACCCGCGAUUGGACGGAAAGACCCCGUAGAGCUUUACUGUAGCUUAGCAUUGAAUUCCGGUAUUGUCUGUACAGGAUAGGUGGGAGACUGGGAAACUAGGGCGUCAGCCUUAGUGGAGUCAACCUUGGGAUACCACCCUGGCAGUACUGGGGUUCUAACAGGACGCCAUGAAUCUGGUGACUGGACAUUGUUAGGUGGGCAGUUUGACUGGGGCGGUCGCCUCCUAAAAAGUAACGGAGGCGCCCAAAGGUUCCCUCAGAACGGUCGGAAAUCGUUCGUAGAGUGCAAAGGCAGAAGGGAGCCUGACUGCGAGACAUACAAGUCGAGCAGGGACGAAAGUCGGGCUUAGUGAUCCGGUGGUACCUCGUGGGAGGGCCAUCGCUCAACGGAUAAAAGCUACCUCGGGGAUAACAGGCUGAUCUCCCCCAAGAGUCCACAUCGACGGGGAGGUUUGGCACCUCGAUGUCGGCUCGUCGCCUCCUGGGGCUGUAGUAGGUCCCAAGGGUUGGGCUGUUCGCCCAUUAAAGCGGCACGCGAGCUGGGUUCAGAACGUCGUGAGACAGUUCGGUCCCUAUCCGUCGCGGGCGUAGGAAAUUUGAGAGGAGCUGUCCUUAGUACGAGAGGACCGGGAUGGACUGACCUCUGGUGCACCAGUUGUUCCGCCAGGAGCAUGGCUGGGUAGCUAAGUCGGGAAGGGAUAAACGCUGAAAGCAUCUAAGCGUGAAGCCUCCCUCAAGAUGAGAUUUCCCAUAGCAUAAGCUAGUAAGACCCCUUGAAGAACACAAGGUUGAUAGGUCAGAGGUGUAAGUGCGGUAACGUAUUUAGCUGACUGAUACUAAUAGGUCGAGGGCUUGACC
This 1312-nucleotide ribosomal RNA is filed under the name metagenome. Its description in RNAcentral is "bacterial LSU rRNA". It matches the Rfam family "Bacterial large subunit ribosomal RNA", at positions 1599 to 2925 of the family's 2925-position model. The record is from RNAcentral.